Molecule: ribosomal RNA, 505 nt
Filed under: uncultured bacterium
Lineage: Bacteria
Description: bacterial SSU rRNA
Rfam family: Bacterial small subunit ribosomal RNA
Source: RNAcentral
UAGUCCACGCCGUAAACGAUGGACACUAGUUGUUGGGUUUAUUCUCAGUGACUAAGCGAAAGUGAUAAGUGUCCCACCUGGGGAGUACGAUCGCAAGAUUGAAACUCAAAGGAAUUGACGGGGGCCCGCACAAGCGGUGGAGCAUGUGGUUUAAUUCGAUGAUACGCGAGGAACCUUACCAGGGCUUAAAUGUAGACUGACAGGGCUAGAGAUAGCUUUUUCUUCGGACAGUUUACAAGGUGCUGCAUGGUUGUCGUCAGCUCGUGCCGUGAGGUGUCAGGUUAAGUCCUAUAACGAGCGCAGCCCCUGUCGUUAGUUGCCAUCAAGUAAAGUUGGGGACUCUAGCGAGACUGCCGGUGCAAACCGCGAGGAAGGUGGGGAUGACGUCAAAUCAUCACGGCCCUUACGUCCUGGGCUACACACGUGCUACAAUGGUAUAGACAAUGAGCAGCCAGUGGGCAACCACGAGCGAAUCUAUAAACUAUAUCACAGUUCGGAUCGGAGU